RNAcentral lists this ribosomal RNA (1521 nucleotides) under metagenome. Its description in RNAcentral is "bacterial SSU rRNA". It matches the Rfam family "Bacterial small subunit ribosomal RNA". The record is from RNAcentral.
GAGUUUGAUCAUGGCUCAGAUUGAACGCUGGCGGCAGGCCUAACACAUGCAAGUCGAACGGUAACAGGAAACAGCUUGCUGUUUCGCUGACGAGUGGCGGACGGGUGAGUAAUGUCUGGGAAACUGCCUGAUGGAGGGGGAUAACUACUGGAAACGGUAGCUAAUACCGCAUAACGUCGCAAGACCAAAGAGGGGGACCUUCGGGCCUCUUGCCAUCAGAUGUGCCCAGAUGGGAUUAGCUAGUAGGUGGGGUAACGGCUCACCUAGGCGACGAUCCCUAGCUGGUCUGAGAGGAUGACCAGCCACACUGGAACUGAGACACGGUCCAGACUCCUACGGGAGGCAGCAGUGGGGAAUAUUGCACAAUGGGCGCAAGCCUGAUGCAGCCAUGCCGCGUGUAUGAAGAAGGCCUUCGGGUUGUAAAGUACUUUCAGCGGGGAGGAAGGGAGUAAAGUUAAUACCUUUGCUCAUUGACGUUACCCGCAGAAGAAGCACCGGCUAACUCCGUGCCAGCAGCCGCGGUAAUACGGAGGGUGCAAGCGUUAAUCGGAAUUACUGGGCGUAAAGCGCACGCAGGCGGUUUGUUAAGUCAGAUGUGAAAUCCCCGGGCUCAACCUGGGAACUGCAUCUGAUACUGGCAAGCUUGAGUCUCGUAGAGGGGGGUAGAAUUCCAGGUGUAGCGGUGAAAUGCGUAGAGAUCUGGAGGAAUACCGGUGGCGAAGGCGGCCACCUGGACGAAGACUGACGCUCAGGUGCGAAAGCGUGGGGAGCAAACAGGAUUAGAUACCCUGGUAGUCCACGCCGUAAACGAUGUCGACUUGGAGGUUGUGCCCUUGAGGCGUGGCUUCCGGAGCUAACGCGUUAAGUCGACCGCCUGGGGAGUACGGCCGCAAGGUUAAAACUCAAAUGAAUUGACGGGGGCCCGCACAAGCGGUGGAGCAUGUGGUUUAAUUCGAUGCAACGCGAAGAACCUUACCUGGUCUUGACAUCCACGGAAGUUUUCAGAGAUGAGAAUGUGCCUUCGGGAACCGUGAGACAGGUGCUGCAUGGCUGUCGUCAGCUCGUGUUGUGAAAUGUUGGGUUAAGUCCCGCAACGAGCGCAACCCUUAUCCUUUGUUGCCAGCGGUCCGGCCGGGAACUCAAAGGAGACUGCCAGUGAUAAACUGGAGGAAGGUGGGGAUGACGUCAAGUCAUCAUGCCCCUUACGACCAGGGCUACACACGUGCUACAAUGGCGCAUACAAAGAGAAGCGACCUCGCGAGAGCAAGCGGACCUCAUAAAGUGCGUCGUAGUCCGGAUUGGAGUCUGCAACUCGACUCCAUGAAGUCGGAAUCGCUAGUAAUCGUGGAUCAGAAUGCCACGGUGAAUACGUUCCCGGGCCUUGUACACACCGCCCGUCACACCAUGGGAGUGGGUUGCAAAAGAAGUAGGUAGCUUAACCUUCGGGAGGGCGCUUACCACUUUGUGAUUCAUGACUGGGGUGAAGUCGUAACAAGGUAACCGUAGGGGAACCUGCGGUUG